Molecule: ribosomal RNA, 423 nt
Filed under: uncultured bacterium
Lineage: Bacteria
Description: bacterial SSU rRNA
Rfam family: Bacterial small subunit ribosomal RNA
Source: RNAcentral
GAAUCUUCCACAAUGGACGAAAGUCUGAUGGAGCAAUGCCGCGUGAGUGAAGAAGGUUUUCGGAUCGUAAAACUCUGUUGUGAGGGAAGAACAAGUACGAGAGUAACUGCUCGUCCACUGCCGGUACCUCAUUAGAAAUCCACGGCUAACUACGUGCCAGCAGCCGCGGUAAUACGUAGGUGGCAAGCGUUGUCCGGAAUUGUUGGGCGUAAAGCGCGCGUAGGCGGUCCUUUAAGUCUGAUGUGAAAUCCCACGGCUCAACCGUGGAAGGUCAUUGGAAACUGGGGGACUUGAGUACAGAAGAGGAAAGCGGAAUUCCAAGUGUAGCGGUGAAAUGCGUAGAGAUUUGGAGGAACACCAGUGGCGAAGGCGGCUUUCUGGUCUGUAACUGACGCUGAGGCGCGAAAGCGUGGGAGCAAACAG